This 823-nucleotide ribosomal RNA is filed under the name Vibrio cholerae. RNAcentral's name for it is "partial 23S ribosomal RNA". It matches the Rfam family "Bacterial large subunit ribosomal RNA", at positions 1620 to 2426 of the family's 2925-position model. The record is from RNAcentral. Lineage: Bacteria; Pseudomonadati; Pseudomonadota; Gammaproteobacteria; Vibrionales; Vibrionaceae.
UCUAAGCUUCAGAUAGUCAGGAAUCGUACCCCAAACCGACACAGGUGGUCGGGUAGAGAAUACCAAGGCGCUUGAGAGAACUCGGGUGAAGGAACUAGGCAAAAUGGUACCGUAACUUCGGGAGAAGGUACGCUCUUGAUGGUGAAGUCCCUCGCGGAUGGAGCUGACGAGAGUCGCAGAUACCAGGUGGCUGCAACUGUUUAUUAAAAACACAGCACUGUGCAAAAUCGCAAGAUGACGUAUACGGUGUGACGCCUGCCCGGUGCCGGAAGGUUAAUUGAUGGGGUUAGCGCAAGCGAAGCUCUUGAUCGAAGCCCCGGUAAACGGCGGCCGUAACUAUAACGGUCCUAAGGUAGCGAAAUUCCUUGUCGGGUAAGUUCCGACCUGCACGAAUGGCGUAAUGAUGGCCACGCUGUCUCCACCCGAGACUCAGUGAAAUUGAAAUCGCUGUGAAGAUGCAGUGUACCCGCGGCUAGACGGAAAGACCCCGUGAACCUUUACUACAGCUUGGCACUGAACAUUGAACCUACAUGUGUAGGAUAGGUGGGAGGCUAUGAAGACGUGACGCCAGUUGCGUUGGAGCCGUCCUUGAAAUACCACCCUUGUAUGUUUGAUGUUCUAACUUAGACCCGUUAUCCGGGUUGAGGACAGUGCCUGGUGGGUAGUUUGACUGGGGCGGUCUCCUCCCAAAGAGUAACGGAGGAGCACGAAGGUGGGCUAAUCACGGUUGGACAUCGUGAGGUUAGUGCAAUGGCAUAAGCCCGCUUAACUGCGAGAAUGACGGUUCGAGCAGGUGCGAAAGCAGGUCAUAGUGAUCCGGUGG